UACGUAGGUGGCAAGCGUUGUCCGGAAUUAUUGGGCGUAAAGCGCGCGCAGGCGGCCUCUUAAGUCUGAUGUGAAAGCCCCCGGCUCAACCCGGGGAGGGCCAUUGGAAACUGGGAGGCUUGAGUAUAGGAGAGAAGAGUGGAAUUCCACGUGUAGCGGUGAAAUGCGUAGAGGAUGUGGAGGAACACCAGUGGCGAAGGCGACUCUUUGGCCUAUAACUGACGCUGAGGCGCGAAAGCGUGGGGAGCAAACAGG
This 255-nucleotide ribosomal RNA is filed under the name uncultured bacterium. RNAcentral describes it as "partial 16S ribosomal RNA". It matches the Rfam family "Bacterial small subunit ribosomal RNA", at positions 524 to 776 of the family's 1533-position model. The record is from RNAcentral.